Molecule: ribosomal RNA, 71 nt
Filed under: Pediococcus pentosaceus
Lineage: Bacteria; Bacillati; Bacillota; Bacilli; Lactobacillales; Lactobacillaceae
Also listed under: 3 other names
Description: partial 16S ribosomal RNA
Rfam family: Bacterial small subunit ribosomal RNA
Source: RNAcentral
UGGGACAGAUGAUUAGGGUGAAGUCGUAACAAGGUAGCCGUAGGAGAACCUGCGGCUGGAUCACCUCCUUU